GGUUAAGUGACUAAGCGUACACGGUGGAUGCCUGGGCAGUCAGAGGCGAUGAAGGACGUACUAACUUGCGAUAAGCGCAGAUAAGGCAGUAAGAGCCGUUUGAGUCUGCGAUUUCCGAAUGGGGAAACCCAACUGCAUAAGCAGUUACUGUUAACUGAAUACAUAGGUUAACAGAGCAAACCGGGGGAACUGAAACAUCUAAGUACCCCGAGGAGAAGAAAUCAACCGAGAUUCCGGUAGUAGCGGCGAGCGAACCUGGAUUAGCCCUUAAGCACUCGGUGAAGUAGGUGAACAAGCUGGAAAGCUUGGCGAUACAGGGUGAUAGCCCCGUAACCGACGCUUCAUCGAGCGUGAAAUCGAGUAGGGCGGGACACGUGAUAUCCUGUCUGAAUAUGGGGGGACCAUCCUCCAAGGCUAAAUACUCCUGACUGACCGAUAGUGAACCAGUACCGUGAGGGAAAGGCGAAAAGAACCCCUGUGAGGGGAGUGAAAUAGAACCUGAAACCGUGUACGUACAAGCAGUAGGAGCACCUUCGUGGUGUGACUGCGUACCUUUUGUAUAAUGGGUCAGCGACUUAUAUUCAGUGGCAAGGUUAACCGUAUAGGGGAGCCGUAGCGAAAGCGAGUCUUAACUGGGCGCUCAGUCUCUGGAUAUAGACCCGAAACCGGGUGAUCUAGCCAUGGGCAGGUUGAAGGUUGAGUAACAUCAACUGGAGGACCGAACCGACUAAUGUUGAAAAAUUAGCGGAUGACUUGUGGCUAGGGGUGAAAGGCCAAUCAAACUCGGAGAUAGCUGGUUCUCCCCGAAAGCUAUUUAGGUAGCGCCUCGGACGAAUACUACUGGGGGUAGAGCACUGUUAAGGCUAGGGGGUCAUCCCGACUUACCAACCCUUUGCAAACUCCGAAUACCAGUAAGUACUAUCCGGGAGACACACGGCGGGUGCUAACGUCCGUCGUGGAGAGGGAAACAACCCAGACCGCCAGCUAAGGUCCCAAAGUAUUGCUAAGUGGGAAACGAUGUGGGAAGGCUCAGACAGCUAGGAUGUUGGCUUAGAAGCAGCCAUCAUUUAAAGAAAGCGUAAUAGCUCACUAGUCGAGUCGGCCUGCGCGGAAGAUGUAACGGGGCUAAGCAAUACACCGAAGCUGCGGCAAUGUCUUUUAGACAUUGGGUAGGGGAGCGUUCUGUAAGCCGUUGAAGGUGAAUCGUAGGGUUUGCUGGAGGUAUCAGAAGUGCGAAUGCUGACAUGAGUAACGACAAAGGGGGUGAAAAACCUCCUCGCCGGAAGACCAAGGGUUCCUGUCCAACGUUAAUCGGGGCAGGGUGAGUCGACCCCUAAGGUGAGGCCGAAAGGCGUAAUCGAUGGGAAACGGGUUAAUAUUCCCGUACUUCUGACUAUUGCGAUGGGGGGACGGAGAAGGCUAGGUGGGCCAGGCGACGGUUGUCCUGGUUCAAGUGCGUAGGCUUGAGAGUUAGGUAAAUCCGGCUCUCUCUAAGGCUGAGACACGACGUCGAGCUACUACGGUAGUGAAGUCAUUGAUGCCAUGCUUCCAGGAAAAGCCUCUAAGCUUCAGAUAGUCAGGAAUCGUACCCCAAACCGACACAGGUGGUCGGGUAGAGAAUACCAAGGCGCUUGAGAGAACUCGGGUGAAGGAACUAGGCAAAAUGGUACCGUAACUUCGGGAGAAGGUACGCUCUUGAUGGUGAAGUCCCUCGCGGAUGGAGCUGACGAGAGUCGCAGAUACCAGGUGGCUGCAACUGUUUAUUAAAAACACAGCACUGUGCAAAAUCGCAAGAUGACGUAUACGGUGUGACGCCUGCCCGGUGCCGGAAGGUUAAUUGAUGGGGUUAGCGCAAGCGAAGCUCUUGAUCGAAGCCCCGGUAAACGGCGGCCGUAACUAUAACGGUCCUAAGGUAGCGAAAUUCCUUGUCGGGUAAGUUCCGACCUGCACGAAUGGCGUAAUGAUGGCCACGCUGUCUCCACCCGAGACUCAGUGAAAUUGAAAUCGCUGUGAAGAUGCAGUGUACCCGCGGCUAGACGGAAAGACCCCGUGAACCUUUACUACAGCUUGGCACUGAACAUUGAACCUACAUGUGUAGGAUAGGUGGGAGGCUAUGAAGACGUGACGCCAGUUGCGUUGGAGCCGUCCUUGAAAUACCACCCUUGUAUGU
Molecule: ribosomal RNA, 2170 nt
Filed under: Vibrio cholerae
Lineage: Bacteria; Pseudomonadati; Pseudomonadota; Gammaproteobacteria; Vibrionales; Vibrionaceae
Also listed under: 1 other name
Description: partial 23S ribosomal RNA
Rfam family: Bacterial large subunit ribosomal RNA
Source: RNAcentral